RNAcentral lists this ribosomal RNA (487 nucleotides) under uncultured bacterium. Its description in RNAcentral is "partial 16S ribosomal RNA". It matches the Rfam family "Bacterial small subunit ribosomal RNA", at positions 28 to 507 of the family's 1533-position model. The record is from RNAcentral.
GACGAACGCUGGCGGCGUGCUUAACACAUGCAAGUCGAGCGGAAAGGCUACAGCUUGCUGGCGCACUCGAUUGGCGAACGGGUGAGAAACACGUGGGGAAUCUGCCCUGCACUCUCGGAUAAGCCUUGGAAAAUGCGGCUAAUACUGGGUAUGAUCUUUCUCCCUAUGGGGUUCGGUGGAAAAUUACGCUGUUUAGGUUGAGCAUGCGCGGUUUUAGCUUGUUGUAGGGGGAACGUCCUACCAAGGCGACGACGGGCAGCCGAGCUGAGAGGAUGAUCGGCCACACUGGAACUGAGACACGGUCCAGACGCCUACGGGAGGCAGCAGUAGGGAAUGUUCGGCAAUGGGCGAAAGCCUGACGCAGCGAGGCCGCGUGUGUGAUGAAGGUCUUCGGAUCGUAAAGCCCUGUUACUUGGGAUGAACAUCUGUCAGCUGAGACGUUGCUUUAUUGACGGUACCUACAGAAGAAGCACCGGCUAACUACGUG